AUACGGAGGAUCCGAGCGUUAUCCGGAUUUAUUGGGUUUAAAGGGUGCGCAGGCGGGAUGUUAAGUCGGCGGUGAGAUUUUGUAGCUCAACUGUAAAAGGGCCUUCGAUAACGGCUUUCUUGGGUGGGGAAGAAGUUGGCGGGACUUGUGGGGUAGGGGUGUAAUUCUUAGAUAUCACGAGGAACUCCGAUUGCGCAGGCAGCUUACUAAACCACUACUGACGCUCAUGCACGAAGGCGUGUGGAUCAAACAGGAUUAGAUACCCUGGUAGUCCACGCAGUAAACGAUGAUUACUAGUUGUUUGCGAUACAAUGUAAGCGACUGAGCGAAAGCGUUAAGUAAUCCACCUGGGGAGUACGUUCGCAAGAAUGAAACUCAAAUGAAUGGGCGGGG
RNAcentral lists this ribosomal RNA (393 nucleotides) under uncultured bacterium. RNAcentral's name for it is "partial 16S ribosomal RNA". It matches the Rfam family "Bacterial small subunit ribosomal RNA", at positions 523 to 918 of the family's 1533-position model. The record is from RNAcentral.